GUUAAGCGAUGCUUCAUACCCGACUGAACUUGAACUUGUGUUGUGCUUGAGGGCCUUGUGGGUGUCGUCGGGCUGCUUGGAGAGACUGGAGCGACAGGAGAAAAGGUAGGUAUUGCUCGUCUGUAGAGUUACAUGGGUGUAGCUGAAAUGUCCCCAACAGAGGCUAACUUUGCAUCGCUUCACCUUCAGGGAGACCGUGGUGAGACAGGCUUCCCUGGACCCCCUGGAGAAAAGGGAGCUAUGUAAACCCCACGGAAGUCCAUAUUUCACUACAGGGACACAGUUAAUACACCGAAAGAAGUACCUAGAGAAGCUACUUUUUUGGAUUUUUGCAGGGUCACCAAGGAAUAACGGGUGAACCUGGACCACCUGGACAUCCAGGAAAACCAGGAGCAGCUGGGUCAGUUGGACAUGUAGGCACCAGAGGACCCAAAGGCGAGCAGGGUCCACAGGGACUUGAAGGUCCAGCAGGAAAGCCAGGAUCAGGAGGGCCAAAGGGUUCUGAAGGUCCUCCAGGACAGCCGGGCCUCCCUGGGUUGCAGGUACGGGCAGGUGCACUGUAGUGUAUAGCACUUUAAGUCACCUUAAAAUGGACAUUUCUCUUCAAAAGAUACAUUUAAAUGAAACAGAAGUGGUCAGAGACUAUCAUUUAUGGCUCAUUGUAAGAAACAAAAAUACAAAUAGAUACAUGUGUUUGGAGCAAAUGAAAUGACUACUAACCAUUAAUUUGCCCCAGUGAAUCAGUUGU
Molecule: long non-coding RNA, 748 nt
Filed under: Scleropages formosus (Asian bonytongue)
Lineage: Eukaryota; Metazoa; Chordata; Actinopteri; Osteoglossiformes; Osteoglossidae
Description: lncRNA (ENSSFOG00015024590.1)
Source: RNAcentral